CCCUGAGGAAAAGAAAUCAACCGAGAUUCCCUUAGUAGUGGCGAGCGAACGGGGACCAGCCCUUAAGUGGCUUUGAGAUUAGCGGAACGCUCUGGAAAGUGCGGCCAUAGUGGGUGAUAGCCCUGUACGCGAAAAUCUCUUUGUCAUGAAAUCGAGUAGGACGGGGCACGAGAAACCUUGUCUGAACAUGGGGGGACCAUCCUCCAAGGCUAAAUACUACUGACUGACCGAUAG
This 234-nucleotide ribosomal RNA is filed under the name Pseudomonas sp. ICMP 561. Its description in RNAcentral is "partial 23S ribosomal RNA". It matches the Rfam family "Bacterial large subunit ribosomal RNA", at positions 209 to 490 of the family's 2925-position model. The record is from RNAcentral. Lineage: Bacteria; Pseudomonadati; Pseudomonadota; Gammaproteobacteria; Pseudomonadales; Pseudomonadaceae.